ACGGGAGACGUGUACAAGUGUCCAGUGAUCCACGGGAACUGCACCAAACUCAACCUGGAAGGGUCACCCUGUCCAACGUGUCCGAGCGGAAAGACAACAUGCGCCUCGGCCUUAGUCUCGCCACCAACCCCAAGGACAACAGCUUCCUGCCUGCAGCCCCCUCUGGUCUCAUGAGUGUGGGAGCUCCUACUACACCACAGGGAUGUGUUCAAGAGUCAACUCCAACUUCAGGUUCUCCAAGACCGUGGCCCCAGCUCUCCAAGGUGCCAGACCUACAUGGACAUCGUCAUUGUCCUGGAUGGCUCCAACAGCAUCUACCCCUGGGUGGAGGUUCAGCACUU
RNAcentral lists this long non-coding RNA (341 nucleotides) under Homo sapiens (human). RNAcentral describes it as "non-protein coding lnc-CLN6-2:1". The record is from RNAcentral. Lineage: Eukaryota; Metazoa; Chordata; Mammalia; Primates; Hominidae.